UGGGGGAUAUUGCACAAUGGGCGAAAGCCUGAUGCAGCGACGCCGCGUGGGGGAUGAAGGCCUUCGGGUUGUAAACUUCUUUUGCUCUGAACAAGGCGCACCAUGGGGUGUGUUGAGUGUAGGGGUUGAUUAGCGCCGGCUAACUACGUGCCAGCAGCCGCGGUAAUACGUAGGGCGCGAGCGUUGUCCGGAAUUAUUGGGCGUAAAGGGCUUGUAGGUGGCUGGUUGCGUCUGUCGUGAAAGCUCAUGGCUUAACUGUGGGUGUGCGGUGGGUACGGGCUGGCUGGAGUGCAGUAGGGGAGGCUGGAAUUCCUGGUGUAGCGGUGGAAUGCGCAGAUAUCAGGAGGAAUACCGGUGGCGAAGGCGGGUCUCUGGGCUGUUACUGACACUGAGGAGCGAAAGCAUGGGGAGCGAACAGG
RNAcentral lists this ribosomal RNA (419 nucleotides) under bacterium. RNAcentral's name for it is "partial 16S ribosomal RNA". It matches the Rfam family "Bacterial small subunit ribosomal RNA", at positions 355 to 776 of the family's 1533-position model. The record is from RNAcentral.